GGUUUGAGAAAAGACACAGGAAUAUGUCGGUUCACCUGUCUCCUUGCUUCAGACUAUGGAACAAUACUCUUCUGACUGAGGGACUGACCACCUCAAAACUUCAAGGGUGAUGGAGUGAUUACAUUGUCUUCACGUCUCUUCUGCUAUCAACUUCUGUACUCGACUGAAGAAGCCUAAUGUGUAGGCGAAACGUUUCAAAAUAAAGAUACCUAGCUGUUGCAUAUGUAUCUUACCUAACAACCUGUCGGUAUUUUAUACCAUUUUAAUAUUCAAAAAAUAAUCUGCACCUUACAUCAGAUUUUAUUUUGAUUUACAUGCAAAUUUUUUCUUGCAGCUAUCCUCCUAUAUCCACAAAAUUCUGCUGCACAUACUAACACUGCAUUCUUAAAUCAGCCCCAUACCUCUUGACAUCAUCCUUAUGCUGUCACUAACCCAUUUUUCACCCAGCAAUCCUAAGCUUAUAUCUUGCCCUAUUUUUUUUUUUUUAACAAGUCGGCCUUCUCCCACCGAGCAGGGUGACCCAAAAAGAAAGAAAAUCCCCAAAAAAAAAAAUACUACUUUCAUCAUCAUUCAACACUUUAACCUCCCUAACAUAUAAUCACUGUUGUUGCAGAGGUGCUCAGAAUACAACAGUUUAGAAGCAUAUACAUAUAAAGAUACACAACAUAUCCCUCCAAACUGCCAAUAUCUCAAACCCCUCCUUUAAAGUGUAGGCAUUAUACUUCCCAUUUCUGAGACUCAAGUCCAGGUAUGUAAAAAUAACCGGUUUCCUUGAAUCCCUUCACUAAAUGUUGCCCUGCUCACACUCCAACAGCUCGUCAGGUCCCAAAUACUAUUCAUCUUCAUUCACUCCUAUCUAACGUGCUCGCGCACACUUGCUGCAAGUCCAAGCCCCUCACCCACAAAACCCCCUUUACCCCCUCCCUCCAACCUUUUCGAGAACGACCCCUACCCCCCUCCCUUCCCCUACAGAUUUAUAUGGUCUCCAUGUCAUACUACCUUGAUCCAUUAUCUUUAAAUGACCAAACAACCUCAACACCACACAUUGCCCUUAGACAGGACAUCUCCACUGCCUCCAACCAUCUCCUCACUGCAGCAUUCACAACCCAAGCUUCACACCCAUAUAAGAGUGUUGGUACCACUAUACUUUCAUACAUUCUCUUCUUUGCCUCCAUAGAUAACAUUUUUUGUCUCCACAUAUAUCUCAAUGCACCACUCACCUUUUUUCCUUCAUCAUUUCUGUGGUUAACCUCAUCAUUCAUAAAUCCAUCCACUGACAUGUCAACUCCCAAAUAUCUGAAAACAUUCACUUCUUCCAUACUCCUCUCAAAUUUGAUAUCCAAUUUUUCUUUUAUCUAAAUCAUUUAUUACCCUACUCACCUUACUCUUUUCUAUGUUUACUUUCAGUUUUCUACCUUUACACACAUUCCCAAACUUGUCCACUAACCUUUGCAGUUUUUCUUUAGAAUCUCCCACAGUAUUAUCAGCAAAAAGUAACUGUCAAUUCCCAGUUGUAUUUGAUUCCCCUUAAUUUAAUCCCACUCUCUCUCCCGAACACCCUAGCAUUUACUUUUACAACCCCAUCUAUAAAUACAUUAAACAACCAUGGUGACUUCACACAUCCCUGUCUAAGAUCUACUUUUACCGGGAAGUAGUCUCCCAAUCUUCUACACACCCUAACGUGAGCCUCACUAUCUUCAUAAGAACUCUUUACCGCAUUUAGUAACUUACUACUUAUUCCAUAUACCUCCAUCAUCUGCCACAUUCCUCCCCUAUCCACUCUAUCAUAUGCCUUUUCUAAAUCCAUAAAUGCAAUGAAAACUUCUCUACCUUUAUCUAAAUACUUUUCACAUAUAUGCUUCAAUGUAAACACUUGAUCCACACAUCCCCUACCCACUCUAAAACCUCCUUGCUCAUCCGCAAUCCUACAUUCUGUUUUACCUCUAAUUCUUUCAAUAAUAACUCUGCCGUACACUUUUCCUGGUAUACUCGGUAAACUAAUUCCUCUUUAAUUUUUACAAUCUCUCUUGUACCCCUUCCCUUUAUAUAAAGGGACUAUACAUGCUCUCUGCCAAUCCCUAGGUACCUUCCCCUCUUUCAUAUGUUUAUUAAACAAAAAUACCAACCACUCCAACACUAUCUGCUCCUGCUUUUAACAUUUCUGUCAUGAUCUCGUCGGUUUCAGCUGCCCCACCCCUUUCAUUCUACGUUAUGCCUCACGCACCUCCCCCACACUCACAUCCUGCUCUUCUUCACUCCUAAAAGAUGAUAUACUUCCCUGGCCAAUGCAUGAAAUUACCACCUCUCUUUCUUCGUCAACAUUUAAAAGUUCCUCAAAAUAUUCCCGCCAUCUACCCAAUACAGUGGACCCCCGCAUAACGAUCACCUCCCAAAGCGACCAAUUAUGUAAGUGUAUUUAUGUAAGUGCGUUUGUACGUGUAUGUUUGGGGGUCUGAAAUGGACUAAUCUACUUCACAAUAUUCCUUAUGGGAACAAAUUCGGUCAGUACUGGCACCUGAACAUACUUCUGGAAUGAAAAAAUAUCGUUAACCGGGGGUCCACUGUACCUCCAUCUCCCCAUCUACUAAUUCCCCUACUCUGUUUUUAACUGACAAAUCCAUUCAUUUCCUAGGCUUUCUUAACUUGUUUAACUCACUCCAAAAUUUUUUCUUCUCAUCAAAAUUUCUUGACAGUGCCUCUACCACUCUAUCUAUCAUCUGCUUUGCUUUUGCACACUCUCAUCACUCUCUUCACCUUUCUUUUACUCUCUAUAUACUCUGCUCUUCUUAUAACACUUCUGCUUUGUAAAAACCUCUUAUAGGCUACCUUUUUCUCUUAUAUCACACCCUUUAUUUCAUCAUUCCACCAAUCACUCCUCUUUCCAUCCUGCACUCGCCCUCCUAUAACCACAAACUUCUGCCCCACAUUCUAAUACUGCAUUUUUCAAACUAUUCUAACCCUCUUCAACCCCCCCCCCCCCUACGCUCAUACUUGCACCAGCCCACCUUUCUGGCAAUAGUUGCCUAUAUCUCACCAGAACUUCCUCCUCCCUUAGUUUAUACACUUUCACAUCUGUUUUACUUUCUGUUGCCCUUUUCCAUUUGUCACAUCUACUUCUUUCUCUAACUGUAGUUACAACUAAAUAAUGAUCCGAUAUAUCAGUUGCCCCUCUACAAACAUGUAGGUCCUGGAGCCUAUCCAUCAACCUUUUUUCCACCAAUACAUAAUCUAAAAACUAUAUUCAUUACAUGCUAUAUCAUAC
Molecule: non-coding RNA, 3262 nt
Organism: Cherax quadricarinatus
Lineage: Eukaryota; Metazoa; Arthropoda; Malacostraca; Decapoda; Parastacidae
Source: RefSeq, a predicted model, not a curated record